RNAcentral lists this non-coding RNA (25 nucleotides) under Mus musculus (house mouse). Lineage: Eukaryota; Metazoa; Chordata; Mammalia; Rodentia; Muridae. The record is from RNAcentral.
UAAUAGGGUUAUUUGGUUUGCUGGA